AUCAUUAUACUUAAUCCAACUAUGCCACGUCACCACUGUGCCGCGACUCCCCUGUGCUGGGUUUUUUAAUUUAAGUUUACCGUACAGCCUGUCCAGCCAUUAUGCGCGUCCCAAAGCUACGAAAGGGGAACGCCAUGUAGAUAUGCAGGAUAGAAAUAAGCUGUCACUAAUUUAUUGGUUCGGACGAAUAAACGGUCACGGACAAGGGCAAUCUUGGCUCGGUCAACCACCGAAAUCUUGGAAGACCUGGACUAUGAACCCACGUUGUAGACAAUGAAACACUUAACUAAGUGAUUUUUGAUACAGCGCGGUGAUUGAACAAAAAACAAUAGAUAUAUAUAGAAUAUAAAGGACACAAUUUAAAAAAAACCUUACAGGAGGUACAAAAUGUAGUUGAAAUAUUUAUCAUGUAAAGUAGUUCUAAAAGUUUAAAAUUCCAUGAUGCUCUCCUAUUGGGAAUGGUCGGACUUCAUAGGCCCAGAUCGUUUGGCCAAACUACUUACCGGACAUUGUAUACAGAACAGGUUGGAUUUUUGAAUGACACAUUGAAUAAACUGCACGUAGAUGGUUCAAUGAAGAAUCAUAAAACUACUCUGACUACUUAAACUAAAAAUUUUUAUUCUCUUUAAAUACUUUUAAAAAGAAAAUGAACUUUAUUAUUAGUCAUACUGAUAGAGAUAGUUAAUAGUUAUAAUGUUAAGAUAAGCAAUAACUUUGUUAGUUGCUCUAUAAUAGAUAUAUGAUUAUAAUAAUGAUAGGAAUAAUAGUACAAAUAGAUUUAGUUAUAAUAGUAGAAAAAGAUAAAUACAACAAUUUUACCCUUCAAAUAGUAUUACAAACAAACUAUAACCAGACAACAACAAACAAACAAAUUAAUUGCUCAAUAAAGAAUAAGAUGUCAGACCACCUCAAAAUCAUUACACGCCGAUCAACACUAAUGACUUGAGAAAAGAUAACUUCGAAGGAAAUGAUAAUAAAAUAUUUAAUACAUUAAUUAUCGAAAAUAAAAAUACAACAUUCUACCAAAAACUCCAAGCAACUUGUACAACGACUGAAUAAAAUGUCGAUUCGACCUUUCAAUCAAAGUCAUAGAAGGUCAAAGAAAUACAUUUUAAAGUAAAAAUAAUGUUAAUACUGAAAGAUGAGUCAAAUCAACUUAAUUUUUUUUUUCUACACACGUUCUCAUAAUCCCCCAAAAAAAUACACGAAAUCAGUCCCUCCAAAAAACUCUCUAAAAAAAUACUGGGAUAAAUGGUACACAUUAUUCACAAAAUAUGAUUGAGGCGUUAAACUGGAGAGAGAUUCUUCUCGUUUUGUCUAGAAAAAUUGAGUAUCCAAAUCGCUCAACGUUGUACGGGAAAAGUUGCGAUGGACCCUUUUUGUGGAAUUGAUGGAAACAUUAUUCAACUAACCAGGUUCUACACCAAAGUCAUAGCGAUCGACAAAAAUCCGGAAAAAAUUAGACUGGCAAUGAACAAUGCAAAAAUAUACGGAGUUGAGAAACAUAUUGAAUUUAUAGUGGGCGAUUUUUUUGAAUUGGCAUAUCAUCUUAAAGAGGACGUUGUUGUCAUGUCACCCCCUUGGGGCGGACCUAAUUAUUCAAAAAAGAAGAAAUACAAUUUAAAAUACAUAUGUCAAGAGUAAGGAUAUAAUGGCUUCAACAUUUUUGAAUUGCCCCAAAAAGUUGCCCCAAAUGUGGUUUUCCAUAUGUCAAGAAAUAUUUACCUUUUAGAAUGCCAGUCAUUAGCUAAGACUUUCAAUCAUAAUUAUCAAGUUGAAUAAAAUGUUAUAAAUACCAAAUUGGAUUCAAUUACUGUUUUUUUCUGAAAUUUACAUUGAUAUAUAAUACGACGCCAAUUAAAUUUUUUUAAGUAUUAUUAUUUUUUAAUUGUUUAAUUUGUAUUUAAAUAUUCGUUCUCAACUAGAUUUAAGUUUUUUGAUUCUGUUUUAUCAUAUUUUUAUUUUUCUAUUAUAAUGUUAUUAUUUUUAGUCGUUUGAUUUUUUUUUAAUUGUAUUUAAUUUAAUUAAUGAACUUUGUAUAAUCCGAAUAUAUCAUUUUUUUCCUAUUAAAUGUGAA
Molecule: long non-coding RNA, 2077 nt
Organism: Daktulosphaira vitifoliae (grape phylloxera)
Lineage: Eukaryota; Metazoa; Arthropoda; Insecta; Hemiptera; Phylloxeridae
Exons: 3
Source: RefSeq, a predicted model, not a curated record